GCCUUCGUGGUGUAGCGGUCAGCACGCUCAACACUUAUUCAAGAGAUCCGUGGUUCGAAUCCUGGCGAGGGCA
RNAcentral lists this transfer RNA (73 nucleotides) under Stegodyphus mimosarum. It matches the Rfam family "tRNA". From Rfam's summary of the family: Transfer RNA (tRNA) molecules are approximately 80 nucleotides in length. Their secondary structure includes four short double-helical elements and three loops (D, anti-codon, and T loops). The record is from Rfam by way of RNAcentral. Lineage: Eukaryota; Metazoa; Arthropoda; Arachnida; Araneae; Eresidae.